RNAcentral lists this ribosomal RNA (376 nucleotides) under Stenotrophomonas sp. MP1-4. RNAcentral's name for it is "bacterial SSU rRNA". It matches the Rfam family "Bacterial small subunit ribosomal RNA", at positions 53 to 423 of the family's 1533-position model. Lineage: Bacteria; Pseudomonadati; Pseudomonadota; Gammaproteobacteria; Lysobacterales; Lysobacteraceae. The record is from RNAcentral.
ACAUGCAAGUCGAACGGCAGCACAGUAAGAGCUUGCUCUUAUGGGUGGCGAGUGGSGGACGGGUGAGGAAUACAUCGGAAUCUACCUUUUCGUGGGGGAUAACGUAGGGAAACUUACGCUAAUACCGCAUACGACCUUCGGGUGAAAGCAGGGGACCUUCGGGCCUUGCGCGGAUAGAUGAGCCGAUGUCGGAUUAGCUAGUUGGCGGGGUAAAGGCCCACCAAGGCGACGAUCCGUAGCUGGUCUGAGAGGAUGAUCAGCCACACUGGAACUGAGACACGGUCCAGACUCCUACGGGAGGCAGCAGUGGGGAAUAUUGGACAAUGGGCGCAAGCCUGAUCCAGCCAUACCGCGUGGGUGAAGAAGGCCUUCGGGU